GAGUUUGAUCGUGGCUCAGGACGAACGCUGGCGGAGUGCUUAAUACAUGCAAGUCGAACGAGAUCCAUUCCAGCUUGCUGGAGGAAGAUCUAGUGGCGAACGGGUGAGGAACACGUGAGAAACUUGCCUCAGAGAGAGGGACAACAGUGGGAAACCAUUGCUAAUACCUCAUGUUGAUUACGAAUCGCAUGAUUUGUAAUUGAAAUGAAUUUCGCUCUGAGAGAGUCUCGCGGCCUAUCAGCUUGUUGGUGGGGUAACGGCCUACCAAGGCUUCGACGGGUAGCUGGUCUGAGAGGACGAUCAGCCACAUUGGGACUGAGACACGGCCCAGACUCCUACGGGAGGCAGCAGUAGGGAAUCUUGCGCAAUGGGCGAAAGCCUGACGCAGCAACUCCGCGUGUGGGAUGACGGCCUCGGUUGUAA
RNAcentral lists this ribosomal RNA (423 nucleotides) under uncultured Actinomycetes bacterium. Its description in RNAcentral is "bacterial SSU rRNA". It matches the Rfam family "Bacterial small subunit ribosomal RNA", at positions 9 to 428 of the family's 1533-position model. Lineage: Bacteria; Bacillati; Actinomycetota; Actinomycetes. The record is from RNAcentral.